Molecule: ribosomal RNA, 502 nt
Filed under: uncultured bacterium
Lineage: Bacteria
Description: bacterial SSU rRNA
Rfam family: Bacterial small subunit ribosomal RNA
Source: RNAcentral
AUUGAACGCUGGCGGAAUGCUUUACACAUGCAAGUCGAGCGGCAGCGCGGGGGCAACCCUGGCGGCGAGCGGCGAACGGGUGAGUAACAUAUCGGAACGUACCCAGUCGUGGGGGAUAACUAUCCGAAAGGAUAGCUAAUACCGCAUACGUCCUGAGGGAGAAAGCGGGGGAUCGCAAGACCUCGCGCGAUUGGAGCGGCCGAUAUCGGAUUAGCUAGUUGGUGGGGUAAAGGCUCACCAAGGCGACGAUCCGUAGCGGGUCUGAGAGGACGACCCGCCACACUGGAACUGAGACACGGUCCAGACUCCUACGGGAGGCAGCAGUGGGGAAUAUUGGUCAAUGGGCGAAAGCCUGAACCAGCCAUCCAGCGUGCAGGAAGAAGGCCCUAUGGGUUGUAAACUGCUUUUAUCAGGGAAGAAACCUCUGGAUUUACUCCGGAGCUGACGGUACCUGAAGAAUAAGCACCGGCUAACUCCGUGCCAGCAGCCGCGGUAAAGUGUG